Molecule: microRNA precursor, 86 nt
Filed under: Nicotiana tabacum (common tobacco)
Lineage: Eukaryota; Viridiplantae; Streptophyta; Magnoliopsida; Solanales; Solanaceae
Description: MIR6152 microRNA precursor family
Rfam family: MIR6152 microRNA precursor family
Source: Rfam by way of RNAcentral
UGGACAGAUUAUUGUAUUCACGGCGUGAAACAAGGGAUUACACUGUUUUUAAACGGAAAGUAAAUCAAUUAACAUAAUAGACUCCU